CCAAUGUGAACGUUACCAAACUGUUGCCUCGGCGGGAUCUCUGCCCCGGGUGCGUCGCAGCCCCGGACCAAGGCGCCCGCCGGAGGACCAACCAAAACUCUUAUUGUAUACCCCCUCGCGGGUUUUUUACUAUCUGAGCCAUCUCGGCGCCCCUCGUGGGCGUUUCGAAAAUGAAUCAAAACUUUCAACAACGGAUCUCUUGGUUCUGGCAUCGAUGAAGAACGCAGCGAAAUGCGAUAAGUAAUGUGAAUUGCAGAAUUCAGUGAAUCAUCGAAUCUUUGAACGCACAUUGCGCCCGCCAGUAUUCUGGCGGGCAUGCCUGUCCGAGCGUCAUUUCAACCCUCGAACCCCUCCGGGGGGUCGGCGUUGGGGAUCGGCCCUUUACGGGGCCGGCCCCGAAAUACAGUGGCGGUCUCGCCGCAGCCUCUCCUGCGCAGUAGUUUGCACACUCGCAUCGGGAGCGCGGCGCGUCCACAGCCGUUAAACACCCCAAACUUCUGAAAUGUUGACCUCGGAUCAGGUAGGAAUACCCGCUGAACUUAAGCAUAUCAAUAAGCGGAG
RNAcentral lists this ribosomal RNA (561 nucleotides) under Trichoderma virens. RNAcentral describes it as "eukaryotic LSU rRNA". The stretch from base 180 to 333 matches the Rfam family "5.8S ribosomal RNA". Lineage: Eukaryota; Fungi; Ascomycota; Sordariomycetes; Hypocreales; Hypocreaceae. The record is from RNAcentral.